RNAcentral lists this ribosomal RNA (1410 nucleotides) under metagenome. Its description in RNAcentral is "bacterial LSU rRNA". It matches the Rfam family "Bacterial large subunit ribosomal RNA", at positions 1535 to 2925 of the family's 2925-position model. The record is from RNAcentral.
CAAAAAUCCGGGAUCACUUACGCCGAGCACCGAGACGAGUCCUAUGAGGACGAAGUGACUGACACCACGCUUCCAGGAAAAGCCACUAAGCUUCAGCUUAAGAAAAACCGUACCGCAAACCGACACAGGUAGGCAGGGUGAGAAUCCCAAGGCGCUUGAGAGAACUCGGGUGAAGGAACUAGGCAAAAUGGCACCGUAACUUCGGGAGAAGGUGCGCCCUUUGGUGUGGUCACGUGCGUGACUGAGCAUCGAAGGGUCGCAGUAACCUGGCCGCUGCGACUGUUUAUCAAAAACACAGCACUCUGCAAACACGAAAGUGGACGUAUAGGGUGUGACGCCUGCCCGGUGCUGGAAGGUUAAUUGAUGGGGUCAGCCGCAAGGCGAAGCUCUUGAUCGAAGCCCCAGUAAACGGCGGCCGUAACUAUAACGGUCCUAAGGUAGCGAAAUUCCUUGUCGGGUAAGUUCCGACCUGCACGAAUGGCGUAACGACAGCGGCGCUGUCUCCACCCGAGACUCAGUGAAAUUGAAAUCGCUGUGAAGAUGCAGCGUUCCCGCGGCAAGACGGAAAGACCCCGUGAACCUUUACUAUAGCUUUACACUGAACGUUGAGUUCUUCUGUGUAGGAUAGGUGGGAGGCUAUGAAACCAGGACGCUAGUUCUGGUGGAGCCAUCCUUGAAAUACCACCCUGAAGUGCUUGACGUUCUAACCUAGGCCCGUAAUCCGGGUCAGGGACCGUGUAUGGUGGGUAGUUUGACUGGGGCGGUCUCCUCCCAAAGAGUAACGGAGGAGCACGAAGGUACGCUCAGCGCGGUCGGACAUCGCGCACUGUGUGCAAAGGCAUAAGCGUGCUUGACUGCGAGAUCGACGGAUCAAGCAGGUACGAAAGUAGGUCUUAGUGAUCCGGUGGUUCUGUAUGGAAGGGCCAUCGCUCAACGGAUAAAAGGUACUCCGGGGAUAACAGGCUGAUACCGCCCAAGAGUUCAUAUCGACGGCGGUGUUUGGCACCUCGAUGUCGGCUCAUCACAUCCUGGGGCUGUAGCCGGUCCCAAGGGUAUGGCUGUUCGCCAUUUAAAGUGGUACGCGAGCUGGGUUCAGAACGUCGUGAGACAGUUCGGUCCCUAUCUGUCGUGGGCGUUGGAGAUUUGAGGGGGGCUGCUCCUAGUACGAGAGGACCGGAGUGGACGUUCCGCUGGUGUUCGGGUUGUCAUGCCCAUGGCAUUGCCCGGUAGCUACGAACGGAAGUGAUAACCGCUGAAAGCAUCUAAGCGGGAAGCACGCCCCAAGAUGAGAUCUCCCGAGAGCUUGACUCUCCUAAAGGCACCAUCAAGACUAGGUGGUUGAUAGGUCAGGUGUGGAAGCGCAGCAAUGCGUUGAGCUAACUGAUACUAAUGAGCCGUGAGGCUUGACUA